CUCGUUGCGCAGUCGUCCUAGCGUCAUUUCUGUUCCGUUCUGAAAAUCGGUAGCUGUCACUGGUGCGGCGCUGCUCGGGAGGUCCGGUCGGCGAGCUCAGAGGAGCUUGAGACCGUCGCAGUCCCCUCGGACCCCCAUCGGUUAAGAGGAAAAAUGGUUGAAGCAGAUCGCCCAGGAAAGCUCUUUAUUGGUGGGCUUAAUACAGAGACGAAUGAGAAAGCCCUUGAGGCAGUGUUUGGCAAAUAUGGACGAAUAGUGGAAGUUCUUUUGAUGAAGGACCGAGAAACGAAUAAGUCAAGAGGAUUCGCUUUUGUCACUUUUGAAAGCCCAGCAGAUGCAAAGGAUGCUGCCAGAGACAUGAAUGGAAAGUCCUUAGAUGGGAAAGCCAUCAAGGUGGAGCAAGCCACCAAACCAUCAUUUGAAAGUGGUAGACGUGGACUACCCCCACCUCCAAGAAGCAGAGGCCCUCCCAGAGGUCUUCGAGGAGGAAGAGGAGGAAGUGGAGGAACCAGAGGACCCCCCUCCCGGGGAGGACACAUGGAUGAUGGUGGCUACUCCAUGAAUUUUACCAUGAGUUCUUCCAGAGGACCUCUGCCAGUAAAACGAGGACCACCACCACGAAGUGGAGGUCCUCCUCCUAAAAGAUCAGCACCUUCUGGACCAGUUCGUAGCAGCAGUGGACUGGGAGGAAGAGCCCCUGUGUCCCGUGGAAGAGAUGGUUACGGAGGCCCGCCACGAAGGGAGCCCCUGCCUUCUCGAAGAGAUGUUUAUUUGUCCCCGAGAGAUGAUGGAUAUUCCACUAAAGACAGCUAUUCAAGCAGAGAAUAUCCAAGUUCUCGAGAUACACGAGAUUAUGCACCACCACCAAGAGAUUAUACUUACCGUGAUUAUGGUCAUUCCAGUUCACGAGAUGACUAUCCAUCAAGAGGCUAUAGUGAUAGAGAUGGCUAUGGUCGGGAUCGGGACUAUUCAGAUCAUCCAAGUGGAGGUUCCUACAGAGAUUCGUAUGAGAGUUAUGAUCAAAUAUUUACCAUUGCAAUAUGAAGGAAACUCAACAGUUCAAAAAUUGCAACUUAUCACUGGAAAGUGGCUGAGUGUCUACUCUAAAAUAACAAGCUGUCUGGAAUGUCCUCUUGAAAUACACAACGUCUUCAGUCUUUUCAAACAAACAUUAAAAUCAAUCCGUUUCCGUACCUCAGCAGAUGAGCAAUUCCCUCUUAUGGCCAGCAAUGGUAGAGUUUAAAACUUCCCAGUUGAGAAAGUGAACUUUUAAUACAAAGAAUUCUGUAAAUUCAGAUUUAAAUGUUGUAUAUAUACAAUUUAUAGUGUUGCCAUAUUACCUGACCAUUGACCCUGCAGGUAACUCACGUAGUGCUCCACCUACACGAGGGCCCCCGCCAUCUUAUGGUGGAAGCAGUCGCUAUGAUGAUUACAGCAGCUCACGUGACGGAUAUGGUGGAAGUCGAGACAGUUACUCAAGCAGCCGAAGUGAUCUCUACUCAAGUGGUCGUGAUCGCGUGGGCAGACAAGAAAGAGGGCUUCCCCCUUCUAUGGAAAGGGGGUACCCUCCUCCACGUGAUUCCUACAGCAGUUCAAGCCGCGGAGCACCAAGAGGUGGUGGCCGUGGAGGAAGCCGAUCUGAUAGAGGGGGAGGCAGAAGCAGAUACUAGGAACAAACAAAACUUUUGGACCAAAAAAAUCCCCAUUCAAAGCAACAAACAAAAGUGGAAACUUUCUGUCAUAAACUACCCAAGGACUACUAAAAGGAAAAAUUGUGUUACCUUUUUAAAAUUUCCUGUUCCCUUUUAAUAAUUUUUAUGUUCUUGUGAGGGAAAAAGUAAGACGUGUUUAAUUUUAUUUGCUAGUAUGAGCUGCUUUCAACAAGCAAAUGGUAGAUGUGUGAGCCUUGACUUGUUCCUAGUGUUGUAAUUUUCCAAGUGAAAGUGUCCCUGAAGGCCAGCCACUUCCUGAUUUUUUUCCCCAGUAAAUGAGGCAAGCAACCCCAAGAUCAUCCACAAACUUCCAGCCAUCUAGAUGGCCUCUGGUCUCCACUGAGAGCUGAAUCGCCCUGCCUGUGCAGACAAGCUAGCCAUUAGAGAGGGUUGGUUGGGUGUGCUACUUUCAGUAUUUCAGGGUGUCUUCCAACUGAAAUCUCAAUCUUCGCAGUAUAUAUAUUAAAACCAACGAGCAAACCUGAGCUCCGAUGCCUAGGAUGUACUGUUUACCCAGAAACCCCCCAAAAAAGCAGAUGGAUACUGGCCAUAUUUUGCUUUUUUGACACUUCCUUGGGAAUCUACAAGAACCUCCCUUCCCCCUCCCCGAGUAAGACCUAAGACCAUUUAAGUGUGUGUUAAACAACUACAAAAUACUCAAUAAAACGUUUGGCCAAAGUCAACCCUGAAGCUGCAAACCGAUGCUUGCUCUUACUGUUUCAAAUUUUUGCAACUCUGUAGUGUCUCACUUUUAAAGGAACAGCUUGAUUGCAAAGGAGAAAAUAGAUAAGCAAUGAAGUUAUCUCCAACUUCCUAAAGGCUUAUGACUUCUAAAAAGUGAAUCUAUCAGCAUUCCACAUCAGAUUUAAAGCACCAAAUGCCCGUGAAACAGCAAAGAUGGUUGAAUCUAAUGGUCAUACUGUCCUGGAGUGCUGAUUGAUUGAUUCACAGUAGAUAAAGCUGGCAGUAAGGAACAAUCAGAUGCUCAGAGUUGCUGAAGCAGAGGAACGCUGAGACUAAGCCACAGCAGUUGCUUACCCAGUGCGCAUCAGAAUUGGUUUGGUACAGGCAAUAGUUUGUUUUUUUUUUUUUUUUGUCUUCAAGGGAGGGAGGAUGAUUAAACCGAAUCAGUGCUUGUUAAUCCUUAAUUAGGGAGUGGCAAUCACUUAAAACUGACCCAAUGGAGAGAGGGAGACUAAUUGGUAAGUGGAGGUACCUACCCAAGAAGUUCGGGUGACUCUUUGUAGACAUUCAGUCGUUCGGGCAAAGUCAUAGGGCAACUCUGCAAUUUCGAGCUGAUGAUCACUGAGAGAAGAACAUUGAAUGAGCUGGGGCUGUAACUCCAUGGUGAGUGCUUGCCUAAGCACCAGUGAGGCUAGCAUUCAACCCCUGGCAGGACACACAAACAUUUCAGUCAGAAAAAUUAUACCUCACUCAUGUCUGACCCAUUUGAUGAAUUUUGCCUCAUCAGUAGGAAACAUUAUUAGUUGUCUUGUAAAACUAAGAAGGGGAAGAACAGUGCUGGGAAAUGAAAGUCAAAACUGGCAACGUUAGGCUAGUUAGGAAAACAUAUUGGGAACAAAAAUAGGUCACUAGGUCACUGUGGUUUUAUAAAAGGUACUUUACCCUCAGGGCUCCAUCUUGGAAACAAACCAUGAAGCUAUAACUCUAGUUUACUGCUUUGGAAACUCAGCCAGUAAUGUGAACGCAGAUAAUCUCAACAGAAGCGGGUUGAGUUUUAGAGUCAAAGAAUUUAACUCCACUUGUGAGAUUUUUCUUACGAAUUUGUUACAGUGCUGUUGAGGGGAUUUCAAGCCUUUCGUCCUCUAAUCAGGCCCGGAGUAGGUUCUGCUGUCAAGACCUUUAGCUCGUGACAUUUUAUAUGCAUUUUUUAGUUUGUCAUGGGCAAUAUUACACUAAAUAUGAAUGUUAAAUUCAAAGUGGGAAGUUGGUAGAAAAUUUCAAGAGACUUUUUUGACAAGUGGUAGAAUAUAGAACUAGCAGGUCUAAAAUCUGCAAUUAGAAAAAAAAAAUUAGCCUUGAUUCUUCUGGCUAAACUCUGGUUGUAGAAGAAUUUGAAUAAUACACAAAGUGCUGUGGUUUAUUUGGUAGCUGGAUGUAGAACAUUAUAGAUCAUUUAUUUAUUUAUUUAUUUAUUUUGGAAUGUUUUGUAUUGAAGCCCAAUAAAACUUGAAUGUGUGUC
RNA transcript from Mus musculus (house mouse), 3915 nucleotides. It is a transcript of the gene named RNA binding motif protein, X chromosome, with no coding region annotated. The transcript is spliced from 11 exons. The record is from RefSeq and is marked validated. NCBI's taxonomy places the organism in Eukaryota, Metazoa, Chordata, Mammalia, Rodentia, Muridae.